Molecule: ribosomal RNA, 488 nt
Filed under: uncultured bacterium
Lineage: Bacteria
Description: partial 16S ribosomal RNA
Rfam family: Bacterial small subunit ribosomal RNA
Source: RNAcentral
GACGAACGCUGGCGGCGUGCCUAAUACAUGCAAGUCGAGCGGAAAGGCCCUGCUUUUGUGGGGUGGUCGAGUGGCGAACGGGUGAGUAACACGUGAGUAACCUGCCCUUGACAUUGGGAUAACUUCAGGAAACUGGGGCUCAUACCGGAUAGGAGCUAUUGAUGCAUGUUGGGGGUUGGAAAGAUUCGGUGGUUGGGGAUGGACUCGCGGCGUAUGAGCUGGUUGGUGAGGUAGUGGAUUACCAAGGCUACGAUGGGUAGCCGGCCUGAGCGGGGGAACGGCCACACUGGGACUGAGACACGGUCCAGAAGCCUACGGGAGGCAGCAGUAGGGAAUCGGCAGCAAGGGGCGAAAGCCUGACGGAGCAACGCCGCGUGAGUGAUGAAGGGCGUCGGAUCGUAAAACUCUGUUAUUAGGGAAGAACAAAUGUGUAAGUAACUGUGCGCGUCUUGAGGGUACCUAAUCAGAAAGCCACGGCUAACUACGUG